AAAAAAUGCUUUUGUUAGCGGACGAAAAACGCUAUCUAAAAAUAUGAUAGCGGUUUAUGAAGCGCUGUAUCAUCGCCCGUCAUAAUAGGUCAAACACAUUAGAUAGCGGUUUUUGGUAUUGUUAUCUUAUUGUCAUAUAUUAUAGCGUUCUUUUGCGUGCAAUUAAAUAUUUUUUAAUAACGUUUUAUUUUUGCUAUUAUAUAUUAUUAAAAUAUAAAAAAAAAUUAAAAAAAAAAAGAAAAAAAAUCACAAAAUACAGUUAAAAUAUAUAAUAUAUUAAAUUAUUUUUACUAAAUAAUUGAAUUUGGUUUACAUAUUAAAGUAGGUUUACAAAAUUAACCUAAUUAAAAACAAACAAAAAACUAAACGUAAAAAAAAUAUACAGUUUACCGCUAAACCUAAAAACCCUAACUCCUCGUGCCUCCAUCUAUUUUGCCGCAGAGCUCCAACAGCCGCCUCCUUUACCGGAUCUGUCAACCACCAUCACGAACUCCUCCACCAUCGACGCUUCAAACCAAGCUGUCAGCCACGCCAUCUGCUUUCCUCCUCCAUCCUCGACGCUUCAGCCAUGCCGUCAGCCACGUCCUCCAUCGCCAAGCUCUCCGCCAGAUCAGGUCCUCAUCUGCCAUAUUCAUCCAUCCUCGACGCUUCAGCCAUGUCCUCCGUCGUCCUCCUCCAUAUUUUAUCUCUGUCAAUUGUCAGCAGCCUCUGCCUUCAUACAAACGAAUCAGAAUUGAUAUAGAAAAAGAACAAAAAGAUGGAAACUUGAGAGACAUUUGAGAGCGAAUAACAACUUACAACUGAGUUGAUUUGUUGUAGAGAGAAAUCACUCCGUGGAUUUUUUGUUGAUUUGUUGUUAACAGAGAAUCGUGAGAGAUGAGAAACUGUAAAGGAAGAAAGAAACAGAUGAGAUCUAUAGCGUGUGUGUGUGUGUGUGUGAUAGAUGGUGAGAGAUGAGGCUAGUGAAACCCAGAAUCUGAGACUUGUGAAAGAAAGAGAUCGAUAGAGUAUAGAGGAAGAGAAAUGAAAAGAUAGAUUAAUUCUUAUCCGUUGGAUUACAAGUAAUCAAUGGUUUAAAAUAUUAAUCCAAAUUUUGAGGAACUGACCAAUAAGAAGAAAGGUGGAAGAUCACAAAGGAGUGAUUUUGAGCCUUUGGAUCAAAAUCAAUCAAAGGCCAAAAAACAACUAAUAAAGAUUAUACUUUUUAUUUAUCUAUAAUUAUUUAAAAAUGUCAAAAUUUAAAUAAAUUUAUAUAGAAUUUUAACUAAAAGUUUUCCAUUUGAAUUUUGUGGUUAUGUGAUUUAAAAACUAAUUUGAUAAAAAGAUUUUAAAUGCUAGUAUUUCUUCUUUUUUGUUGUUUAUUUGUUUAGUGGUUUUUUAUUUUCGAAAUGUAUAAUGUAAAAUUUUAUAUGUUGUAUAUAAUUUGAGAAAUAUAUUAUAUAUACAUAUAUAUUAUAAAAUUAUAUUUUAUUUAAAGUUUGAGGUUUAGUGUUCUAUCACAUAGGUUGAAGUAUGUGGUUUAGGGUUUAUGGUUAAAGUUUGAAAAUAGAUAUAUUGCUUAAGAUUAAUUUUUUUUAAAAAAAGUUAAUUUUAAGAUUUGGAGUUUAAGUUUUCAAGUAUUAUAAAGCUUAUUGUAUUAGAAUUUAAAGUUUGUGUAUAGAGUUUAGGGUUUGAAAACUUGUUUAGGGUUUAGGGAUUCAAAAUAUCAAACAUAGCGUUUAGUUAUGAGUGUUACGGGAAUCAAUACAUAGCGUUUCUUACCUAAAGUGCUAUGUAAACUAUGUAUCAUAAAAUUUAAAAUCCAACCCAACUAAAGAUAGCGUUUUUAUUUUUAGAAACGCUAUCUAAAACUAAAAGAUGUAUCAACCAUAGCAGAAACGAAAAAAACGCUAUCCUACUCCGUUAUAAAAACUCAUUUUUCUUGUAGUGAACCCAAGAUUGUUAGUUUUAUUGAAAUAAACUUGUGAAGUAUGAUGACUUAUCAAGUUUAGUGCAAAGAUUAAGUAUAAGCCAUUACAUAAAAGAGUUGUUCAAAAAAGAAAAAAAAGUCAUUAUAGAAAAGAAAAUUAAAACUAUGAUCUGCUAGAAAAUGUCAACUUAAUUUUGAUGUCGGGUAUUUCUUUUAUCUUUGGGGUGAUUGGUCGGAGUGUAACUGUAGAAAUUUUAUUGUAAAAUUUAGGGUGUAGAAUUUUUUUAUUUAACUGUAAGUGAUGUAAUUUUAAAAUUGAUUACUACAGAAAUAUAUUUCAUACAUCUAAAAAUAUGAGGCUUCAAAAAACAAGGUUUCUACAGUUUUUUUUUUGCUGUAGUUUAAAAAAACAAGAUAAACCAUGAUUAGUGAUUUAAAAGUUGUAGAUUAAUAUUAAAGGUAAAGUUAGUUCCUAAUUCUGUUUAUUCUGUUAGACAUAUCUUAAUACGAAGAAGUAGUGACCAUAUAACAUGUGUAAUACGUUCUAAGCUUCUUCCGAAUUCCACGCAUUGAAAGCAAAAUUCUCGUUGUAAAUAAGGCUACGUACAAUCAUCACGGGUUGGAUUCAGAUUAAGCGCGCAUGCCACUCAUAGUAAGUCGUACUGAGCACCAAAAUAUAAAAAUAUUACACCAAACUCCAGCAUAUCGUCCUCACAAAGUCAAUAAUUUGGACGUUAACUUUUGAAAUGUUUUUACAAAUAUUGUAGGAAAUAUGAAGAAGAAAAAAGCAGCUUCUUGGUGUAGGUGUGGAAACAAACAACACAUAGACAUCAUUUGAUUGGUUUUGUGUUGCCGUAAUUUGUCCCAUCAUAUUUUACCCGAGAUGUGACAAUGAAGUGUUUGUAUAGAUUUUCUUACCCUCAUUUUUAAUGGGAUUCACCUUUAAAAUAAGGGGAUGAAGGGAUGGUUCUCUCACCGUCACUUUUAAAUUUAUUUUUGGAAAAAAAUAGAAAUUUACAUUUUAGUAUUUAAAAUUAUUAAUAAUUAACUAUAAUUACUAAACUUUCAAAAAUAAAUAAAAAUAAAACAUAUUAUUUGAAACAUAUUAAAAUAUAUUUUUUUGAAAAAAUAUAAUAAUAUGUAGUCAAAUGUAACUAUAAAUAGUACAAACAAUGUUAAUAAAAUAAUUUUAAUCAAAAUAAUUUUAAAAAUAUAUUACGAUACGUACUAAUAUAUGAUAUAUAAAAAUUUAUUCAUGCUAUUGUCAAAGAUAUAUAAUUGUAGGGACUAAACUAAAAAGUAAAUAGUGUUUUAAAGAGGUGAAUAGUAUACCCUCAAAUUUGAGGGUGUACUAUUUACCCCCUUAAAAUUUGAGGGCAUGAAGGAUUGUUGAAGUGUAAAACCUUUCAAAAAUUGAGGGAAUAGGGAUUGUUGGAGAGCUCUAAGUAACUUUGUUAACCAAUUAAAUAUGAAAAACUAAAGUCCAACAACAAUGUAUUAACAAAACAUGUUUUUCCAAAAUUGUACCUUUUUGUGAAAACUAAUUUUGUGGUGGUGUUACUAUAGUGAAAAUGGGAGAAAAUAAAAAAAAAGUGAGAAAAAGAGAAAAAACAGAAAAAAGAGUUUUUUUUUUUCUAAUAAGUAUCAAUCGAUCGAUUCCGAAAGGAAAUCACUUAGUGCUAUUGAGUAAACUAGCCUAGAAGCAAAUCACACAAUAUAACCAGAGUUGGAAUACCUUCUGACUAAUACCAAGGGAUAGACCGAUCAUCUGUUACGAUCCACCUUAUAAACCACUUUAACCGAAGCCCAAAUGCAGAUUGGCAAGUAGUAAUAGUUUAGUUUCUAAAGAGAAUUGAACCCAAAACUAAUGUAGUAUACACCAAGCUCCAAAAGAUUACCUUUAGGCUAGUUAGAAAAAAAAAAUUACACCCACUAAAACCUAACGCAAUGUGAGUAAGAUUUCUUUUGUUUUAAUAGUAACCGGAGUAAAUAUAGAAAAAUGCAAGUUUAAUUGAUUGGCUACUUCAUAGCAUAACUCGGAAUAACAAAUUUUCCAUUGAUAAAAGUUGCGCUACACAUACCAUUCAAACAAAGCGAAUAAGUGUGAAUGGUAAAUAGAGUAAUUAAGAGUAACUUAGGCUCCGAAUGGUAAUUGCGGUUUGAGCGGUGCGGGACAAGCGGUUCAACUGCGGUGCGGUUUUAACUGUUAUAAAAAUAUAUAGAUAUAUAAUAUAUGUAAAAAAAUUUGUUAUUGUUAACUGCGGGACGACAGUCACUAUUCGAAGCCUUAACAUGGAUGAGAGGAAAUGAGUGGAAAUCACGAGAGUAAAUAAAUGCAACUGUUUUUUCUCUUUACAAAUUGAAAGGAAAAAAGAACAGUGCAUUUACUACGAAUGGUAACUGCGAUUUGAGCGGUGCGGGACAAGCGGUUUAACUGCGGUGCGGUUUUAACAGUUAUAAAACGUAUAGAUAUAUAGUAUAUAUAGAGAUUUUUGUUAUUGUUAACUGCGGUGCAGGACGGGGCGGUUCGUAACAUUCGAAGCCUAACAGAAACUAGAGUUUUUUUUUAUUUGACUGGUAUUAAAGCAGCUGAAACAAGAAUAAAUCACUUUUCCAUUCAAAAUAUAUCGUUAUUUGUGUUAUAAAGUUAUAGUCAAUAUUUUUGAAUACAUUAGAUCAUUUCUAAUAUUACUAUACAUUUUAUUCCACAACAGAGUUAUUAUGAGAUUAAUUAUAUUUAUAGAGUAAGUUCACUUUUAUUUAAUUUUGGAGUAAAAUAUGUAGUGGGGUUGAAGAUACCUUUAAAACUUUACGUAUAAUAUGAUUUAUUGAAUAAUAACAAUUUAAAAUGUUAUCAUUUAAAUUCUAAAAAUUGAUUGUGCUGGUCAGAUUUGGUCUUAUAUACUUAGCCGGCCCAUAAACCAUUGCUAGAAAGUAUGUUCCCUAACUUACAUAAAUUUUGGCGUUGAUUCAUCACUUUAUGAUAGUCUUAUUGCAAAUACCAUUUAUUAUCAAAAAUGGAAGAAUCGAAAUUAAAACAUAAGUUUAAACUUUAAAGUACUAGUUACUUACACUUUCCUGUAAACGUUAGAUCGGCAGAUUUUCUCAAAAGGGCUAGUUCGUAUAAUUUAUCUCCUUAAAUUAAGAUAUGAGUCUCGUUAUGAUAUAAAUUUGGGAAAUAAUAAAGUUUUUGUUAAAAAUGAUAUUUGGUGAUCGACAUCUCGCCCAUACUUCUUUUUUUCUCACCUAUACACACACAACAAACACAACAUCUAUACACAAGCACAUAAAGUUAUUCAUUAACAUCUACAUUGCAUAUAUACAUAAAUCACAUCUACUGAAACUUCGUAUAGAUUUUGAAUUGUCCAUAUCUAAAUAGUAAAUUAAAAAUCACACUGUUAUAUCAUUAAUACACUUCGCCAUAUAUAUAAAAAAGGCAUGGUUUCACUCUUGAAGAACUCAAAUAUAUAACAUAACAAGAACCAUUGCGUUCAAGUUUACGAACAGAAGACAUUGUGUUUGUUGACCCAAAAAAAAAAGACAUUAUGGAAAGGUUAAACAUAAUUAAUAUGUGUACGAGUGAAAAAGGUAGAGAAUUUUGUCAACUAUCGGUAGCCCACACUAUCGAUGAACAUUGAUUGAGAUCAAUUGCACACCUUGUCUCCUUAAAUCUGUGUAGGUAGACAUAUAUAGAUCGAAGUAUUUAACCAAAUAGACAUUUUAUUUGUGUGUAAAAAUGACAAAAGAUAAAGGUCGAUUUGAUGUGUGAUAUGUCUUCACUACAAGAAAAAAGGCUUUUGUUAGCGGACGAAAAACGCUAUCUAAAAAUAUGAUAGCGGUUUAUGAAGCGCUGUAUCAUCGCCCGUCAUAAUAGGUCAAACACAUUAGAUAGCGGUUUUUGGUAUUGUUAUCUUAUUGUCAUAUAUUAUAGCGUUCUUUUGCGUGCAAUUAAAUAUUUUUUAAUAACGUUUUAUUUUUGCUAUUAUAUAUUAUUAAAAUAUAAAAAAAAUUAAAAAAAAAAGAAGAAAAAUCACAAAAUACAGUUAAAAUAUAUAAUAUAUUAAAUUAUUUUUACUAAAUAAUUGAAUUUGGUUUACAUAUUAAAGUAGGUUUACAAAAUUAACCUAAUUAAAAACAAACAAAAAACUAAACGUAAAAAAAAAUAUACAGUUUACCGCUAAACCUAAAAACCCUAACUCCUCGUGCCUCCAUCUAUUUUGCCGCAGAGCUCCAACAGCCGCCUCCUUUACCGGAUCUGUCAACCACCAUCACGAACUCCUCCACCAUCGACGCUUCAAACCAAGCUGUCAGCCACGCCAUCUGCUUUCCUCCUCCAUCCUCGACGCUUCAGCCAUGCCGUCAGCCACGUCCUCCAUCGCCAAGCUCUCCGCCAGAUCAGGUCCUCAUCUGCCAUAUUCAUCCAUCCUCGACGCUUCAGCCAUGUCCUCCGUCGUCCUCCUCCAUAUUUUAUCUCUGUCAAUUGUCAGCAGCCUCUGCCUUCAUACAAACGAAUCAGAAUUGAUAUAGAAAAAGAACAAAAAGAUGGAAACUUGAGAGACAUUUGAGAGCGAAUAACAACUUAC
Molecule: long non-coding RNA, 6492 nt
Filed under: Brassica rapa (field mustard)
Lineage: Eukaryota; Viridiplantae; Streptophyta; Magnoliopsida; Brassicales; Brassicaceae
Description: long non-coding RNA (BRAP_LNC001492)
Source: RNAcentral